CCACUUCUCCCCUAAUUCGAACCCUAACCCCCUCUUUUCAAAAUUUUCGACUUUCUUGAACAAUUUCACCGAAAAUUCACCAACUACACACAUAUUGUUACUUAUCUCGGUUGUUUGUUGCUGAUUUGUGCAAGGAGGGUUCAAGAAAGGUACAAAUUUCUCCAAAAAUCCAUUCAACCAAGAACGCCCACAAGGUGUUCGACGAAUUGCCCAAGUCAAGUUUGGGGGAAAUUUUGCACAUCAAUCCACUCCUAAUCCCUUCUACACACAUUCUCAAGUCAUGGGGAAACGAGGACGUGACGGGGAGGGCACCUCACAAGGCGAAGGCACUUCAAGGAGCAAAGGGAAGGGCAAGAAAACCGAUCAAAUUCCAACAACCCGACGAUGGUCCCGACGCUUAAAAACAGGUGUUUUCUAUCCUUAAACUCCGGGCGAAUCACAUUGAGGGCAAUGUGAAUUUUAAGUUUGGGGGUGGUUAACUACUUGUUUUAUUUUAUGUGCGCUUUAUUUGUGCUUUAAUUUUUUUUAUUAUUUUGCAUGCUUUAGUUUUUGUUUUAGUUGCCGUUUUUAUUAUUUAAAAAAAAAAAAAAAAAUAAUGUGUGUUCGAUGCAUUGAUGAAUUACGAUGAUGGUAGAUGGUCAAUGUUUGAUGAUGAAACUACUUGUUUUAUGUUGAUAAGGAGUAUGUAUUUGUUUAGCUUUCGAUUCAACGGAACGUAGAAGUGAAU
Molecule: long non-coding RNA, 727 nt
Filed under: Erythranthe guttata (spotted monkey flower)
Lineage: Eukaryota; Viridiplantae; Streptophyta; Magnoliopsida; Lamiales; Phrymaceae
Description: long non-coding RNA (EGUT_LNC003216)
Source: RNAcentral